This 654-nucleotide long non-coding RNA is filed under the name Brachypodium distachyon (stiff brome). Its description in RNAcentral is "long non-coding RNA (BDIS_LNC000154)". The record is from RNAcentral. Lineage: Eukaryota; Viridiplantae; Streptophyta; Magnoliopsida; Poales; Poaceae.
UGUGAUGCACCAAGCUAGCUAGAGAUCAGUUUAAAUAUCUAUCAGAAUUUGGAAGUGAUGGAAAACAAGGUCUCAAUUGGACGGGACGAGGGACCAUUCAUAUUCGGCUUCAAUACUCAGAGGAUUAAAAGUACACAAAAAAGAUAAAAACCCAUUUGCGCAUUUUUCAACAAGUUGAGUGUUUAUUUUUAGAACUCGUUCUGCUGGCUAGGCUAAGCAGCGUGAGGACGUAGCCUAGUGCUCCUCGAUCGUUCCAUGAGGUGACCUCAAAUAACUUGUUCGCUCGAUUUGACCACACGGCAGUGUGAUCACGAAAUUAGUACCGGUAUUAAUUCCACUACGACUCUCGCGAGAAUAUAGGUUGAAAACCUGGUCGUCAGAUGGACAGCCAACUAGCUAGCUGCUUCCGUAAUGCCAUAGGUUGGCGUUGAUCUUAACAUCACGCACGUGUCGCUCUAAGUCUAAGUGUCCACUGCAUUCGUCGAAAAAGAAAAGGAAAAAAACACCCAUCCACACCAAAAGUUCAAGACCUGACAUUGGUGUCACAUCUUCUUAAAUUAUUUUAGUAUUUAACCGGGAUGUUUUUCAGUGAUAGGUGACGUAUCCUCAACAGCGAGGCGUUUGCGGUGACUUCGUCAAUUUCUUAAGAUCUGC